Molecule: ribosomal RNA, 1686 nt
Filed under: Salmonella enterica subsp. enterica serovar Paratyphi A
Lineage: Bacteria; Pseudomonadati; Pseudomonadota; Gammaproteobacteria; Enterobacterales; Enterobacteriaceae
Description: 16S ribosomal RNA
Source: RNAcentral
UUUUCAUCAGACAAUCUGUGUGAGCACUGCAAAGUACGCUUCUUUAAGGUAAGGAGGUGAUCCAACCGCAGGUUCCCCUACGGUUACCUUGUUACGACUUCACCCCAGUCAUGAAUCACAAAGUGGUAAGCGCCCUCCCGAAGGUUAAGCUACCUACUUCUUUUGCAACCCACUCCCAUGGUGUGACGGGCGGUGUGUACAAGGCCCGGGAACGUAUUCACCGUGGCAUUCUGAUCCACGAUUACUAGCGAUUCCGACUUCAUGGAGUCGAGUUGCAGACUCCAAUCCGGACUACGACGCACUUUAUGAGGUCCGCUUGCUCUCGCGAGGUCGCUUCUCUUUGUAUGCGCCAUUGUAGCACGUGUGUAGCCCUGGUCGUAAGGGCCAUGAUGACUUGACGUCAUCCCCACCUUCCUCCAGUUUAUCACUGGCAGUCUCCUUUGAGUUCCCGGCCGGACCGCUGGCAACAAAGGAUAAGGGUUGCGCUCGUUGCGGGACUUAACCCAACAUUUCACAACACGAGCUGACGACAGCCAUGCAGCACCUGUCUCACGGUUCCCGAAGGCACAUUCUCAUCUCUGAAAACUUCCGUGGAUGUCAAGACCAGGUAAGGUUCUUCGCGUUGCAUCGAAUUAAACCACAUGCUCCACCGCUUGUGCGGGCCCCCGUCAAUUCAUUUGAGUUUUAACCUUGCGGCCGUACUCCCCAGGCGGUCUACUUAACGCGUUAGCUCCGGAAGCCACGCCUCAAGGGCACAACCUCCAAGUAGACAUCGUUUACGGCGUGGACUACCAGGGUAUCUAAUCCUGUUUGCUCCCCACGCUUUCGCACCUGAGCGUCAGUCUUUGUCCAGGGGGCCGCCUUCGCCACCGGUAUUCCUCCAGAUCUCUACGCAUUUCACCGCUACACCUGGAAUUCNNNNNNNNNNNNNNNNNNNNCCCCCCUCUACAAGACUCAAGCCUGCCAGUUUCGAAUGCAGUUCCCAGGUUGAGCCCGGGGAUUUCACAUCCGACUUGACAGACCGCCUGCGUGCGCUUUACGCCCAGUAAUUCCGAUUAACGCUUGCACCCUCCGUAUUACCGCGGCUGCUGGCACGGAGUUAGCCGGUGCUUCUUCUGCGGGUAACGUCAAUUGCUGCGGUUAUUAACCACAACACCUUCCUCCCCGCUGAAAGUACUUUACAACCCGAAGGCCUUCUUCAUACACGCGGCAUGGCUGCAUCAGGCUUGCGCCCAUUGUGCAAUAUUCCCCACUGCUGCCUCCCGUAGGAGUCUGGACCGUGUCUCAGUUCCAGUGUGGCUGGUCAUCCUCUCAGACCAGCUAGGGAUCGUCGCCUUGGUGAGCCGUUACCUCACCAACAAGCUAAUCCCAUCUGGGCACAUCUGAUGGCAAGAGGCCCGAAGGUCCCCCUCUUUGGUCUUGCGACGUUAUGCGGUAUUAGCCACCGUUUCCAGUAGUUAUCCCCCUCCAUCAGGCAGUUUCCCAGACAUUACUCACCCGUCCGCCACUCGUCAGCAAAGCAGCAAGCUGCUUCCUGUUACCGUUCGACUUGCAUGUGUUAGGCCUGCCGCCAGCGUUCAAUCUGAGCCAUGAUCAAACUCUUCAAUUUAAAAGUUUGAUGCUCAAUGAAUUAAACUUCGUAAUGAAUUACGUGUUCACUCUUGAGACUUGGUAUUCAUUUUUCGU